AGUAACGGCGAGUGAAGCGGCAACAGCUCAAAUUUAAAAUCUGGCCUCUUCGGGGCCCGAGUUGUAAUUUGUAGAGGAUGUUUUGGGUACCGCACCGGUUUAAAUUUCUUGGAACAGAAUGUCAGAGAGGGUGAGAAU
Molecule: ribosomal RNA, 138 nt
Filed under: Herpotrichiellaceae sp.
Lineage: Eukaryota; Fungi; Ascomycota; Eurotiomycetes; Chaetothyriales; Herpotrichiellaceae
Description: partial large subunit ribosomal RNA
Rfam family: Eukaryotic large subunit ribosomal RNA
Source: RNAcentral